This 440-nucleotide ribosomal RNA is filed under the name uncultured bacterium. RNAcentral describes it as "partial 16S ribosomal RNA". It matches the Rfam family "Bacterial small subunit ribosomal RNA", at positions 338 to 795 of the family's 1533-position model. The record is from RNAcentral.
CCUACGGGAGGCAGCAGUGGGGGAUAUUGCACAAUGGGGGAAACCCUGAUGCAGCGACGCCGCGUGUGGGAAGACGGUCCUCUGGAUUGUAAACCACUGUCCCCAGGGACGAAGAUGACGGUACCUGGGGAGGAAGCUCCGGCUAACUACGUGCCAGCAGCCGCGGUAGUACGUAGGGAGCGAGCGUUGUCCGGAAUUACUGGGGGAAAAGGGAGCGUAGGCGGGGAUGCAAGUUGAGUGUCAAUACUAACGGCUAAACUGGUAGUCGAACUCAAAACUGCAGCUCUUGAGUGAAGUAGAGGCAGGCGGAAGUCCUAGUGUAGCGGUGAAAUGCGUAGAUAUUAGGAGGAACACCAGUGGCGAAGGCGGCCUGCUGGGCUUUGACUGACGCUGAGGCUCGAAAGUGUGGGGAGCAAACAGGAUUAGAUACCCGAGUAGUC